ACCCCACCCCCGCCCGCAGGUCCCGCGUGCGGGUGUCGGUGACCCGCGCGCGGGCUCACUGGUUCACAGCCGUGUGAGCCGGGGGCGAGGGGCGCGCCCUGCCCUGCCCUCCCCGCCCUGCGGAGCUCAACCGGGUUCUCGGCAGCGCGCGGGACUAAGGACCGGAUCCGUGCGCCGAUUUCUUCGGGACACGGUCCAGGACGCUGGGCACUUCCGGACAGGACCUUCUCCAGCCUUGGGACUUCAGGGCCGGACAGAUUUUGCAGAGCCACGCUAGGGAGAAGAAGAAAAUGUGCUUCCCAAUCCCUGACCCCUCUCCACUCCUUGGGCAGAUUUCCCAGAGCCACUCUGGGGUUCUUGGCCAGUGACAGGAGGAGCAGGCAUCCGGGUGACAGCCCCAGACACCCCAGCAACCAGUGACAGCCCCAGACACCCCAGCAACCGGGUGACAGCCCCAGACUUCCCACCAUCCAAGUGGCAGCCCGAGACACCCCAGCAUCCAGGUGACAGUCCCAGCCCUCCUAGCAACCAGAUAACUGUCCCAGACACCCUAGCAACCAGGUGACAGUUCCCGGCAUCGCAGGAACUGGGUGACAGCCCCAGACAUCCCGGCAUCCGGUGAGAGUCCCAGGCAUGCCAGCGUCUGGGGGACAACCUGAGGCAGUGUAAAAUCCACAUGGACAGCAGGGGAAAGUCUGGCCUCAUUGGGUCUUCCUGCCCCACGUCCCCAGUACAGACUAAUUUCUAUGCAUAAUGAACCCUUGUUCUCUUUGACCGCACCUUUUCAAGUGAUUCCAGGAGAGUAGCCACAUUCCAAAAUUUAUGAUAUGUGGAAGUAAAGCAAGGUGAACAUCAAGGUGAGUCAACACCUUUGCCUUCUCUUGGUUUAUUAGGUCACUCGGAGCGGAAGGAUCUCGGGGCCUCCAGCACGGAGGGUUCCUCCAAUCCAGCCCAGGCAGGCUGUGAAACCCCCAGGUCAUCAAGCUGACCCAUCUUCCAGUCCUAGCUCCCGCCAGUUGUGGGACCUCGGCCACUCACUCUGGCCUCCAUCAGUAGAAGGAAGCCAGGACCCCACUCCCAGCCAGCACUGGGUGUCACAGGGGCUAACAGGGGCUCUGGACAGCUGGGACAACUGAGCCACACGUACCAGGAGGCCUCCUCCUGCCUUCUUGCCACUUUUGGGUGUGCUAUUUGCUAUUGAAUGCCUGUACUGGCCGGAACGGUGAGGUCCCCAAAAGGCCAUGUCCACCCAGAACCUCAGGAUGGGACUUUUUUUGCAAAUAGUGUCUUUGCAGAUACACUUUAGGUAAGAAUCAAAUUGACAGUGUCCCUUGUAGCAGGAAGGCACAAGCAGAGACUUGGGACGGGGGACACCACGGAAGACAGAGGCAUAGGGAGGAAGGACCCUCCCUUUGAGCCUGUGGAGGGAGCACAGGCCUGCGGCCUCUUGCCUGCGGCUGUCCGACUGCAGAAGAACACUUCUGUCGUGUGAAACCCCAGCCGGCGGUCGUUUGAUACGGCUGCCCCCAGCUGCCACCUGGACGCUUCUGCAGCGCCGUGUGAUUCAGCCCCAAGGACGGUGAAUCACAGUCCUGCAGGACCAGACCCCGCUAAGGAUGUGGGCCCCUCCAAGAGGAAUGAAGCCCAGCUCCUCCACUUUAAGGAACAGACGGCCUGCACUCCCGUCUCCAGAGCAGAUAGCCCACGCGCCUGCAGGAGCUUUCUCUUGGCCUACUGUCCUCUUCCUGGGAAGCAGCCGGGAGCCUCCCAGAGGCAAGAGUGGACGCUGACCUGCCUGCCCCUCCCAGCACAGUCCCUCGGCGCUGGCCAUGAGGCUGUGGUUCUCUUAGCCCGCUGCUGCCUCCCUCCCACCUUGGGCUCCUUCCCUAAAACAGCCUCCAGCUCUGAGGGAGCUGGUCUCUCUCCUUCUGUCUGCAAAAGGUGACCCCUGGCUUCAAGUGGGAUUUGAACAUUUCUCCACCGCCUUCAAAGUGGGGGGCCUGAGGAUCCAUGGGAGGGGGCUGGAGGGCCGGCGUGGGAUGCCGCCCAGUCACCGUGGGCCCAGGGCCGUGCCGUUGGUGUGUGUGGGAACCACGCCCUGGCCUGUCAGUUGCCCAGACUGUCCGUCCCGGACGAAAGCCCGAAGAUCCGCUGGGUGUUUCUGAGAAGCACAAGCAGGGCUAACGUGCAGGAACUGGAUUUCUUCCCAGCGCCAUCCCAGGCAAGGCUUUAUUGCCCAGCUUGACGGCUCAAGACGCAGGACACACCCAGACUCAAGUCCAGGUUUUUAGGACCCGGAGCAAUCUUGCUAAAGUCCUUUAACAUAACAAAUUGCGUCUUCAGAGUGACAUCCCAGAAAAUUGCAUUCUUCCCCCCACCCCCGAAAGAACCAAGCAGCAAAGGCUUUUGCUCUAGGUGCCCCUGGCUUGGGGGCCAGGAGCUCCUACCUCGUUGACUCGGAGAUGGUGGGCGUAGCAGGUGCUCGGUAAGCACUAGCAGGUGGCGUUCGGGUCCUCAGGUGGAAUGCUUCUUCUAGCUCACCCCACCCCUACGCCGUGAAGCCGCCUGCCCCCGGGCUGCUCCCCCAAGAGCAGUUUCCUCGUCACAAAGGUGAGGACCAGGGAAGGGACCCUGCCUGCACAGGUGUGUCACCUGGGGACAGAUAACCACCGCCGGUGCUGGGCCGGGGAGGAGCCCUGAGCGCUGAGGGGCCACGUGGGCGGCAAGUGCAAGGUUGCGGGUGGAGGUUAGGUCCCCAUGGAGCAGGGCCGUUCAUGGAAACCAUUUCGUCUCUGACAGAUUUGGGGAUUCAUGUGUCCAAGAAAACCCUCAGGCGGGCGGAGGAGAGACAAGGCCCCGCGUCAGCGGCGUCUGGCGGACAGCGGGUGUGAGGAAGGAGAAAGGCCGUCUGAGGCCCCGGCUGAGCAAGGCUGACCCGAGGCCACAGGAGCAGGGGUGGGGGGGUGGGGCCUGAUCUUGGAAGAAGACGUCUUUGUGCCUCUGAAGGGGGCAGGUGUGGUCCUUUAUAUUCCCUCCCCGAGACAGCAGGCUGACGCAGUCUCUGUUAGGGGUCGUGUCCCCCAAAAAAGACGUCUUGGAGUCCUUAUCCCUGGUUCCUGUGAAUGUGACUCUAUCUGGAAGUAGAGUCUUUGCAGGUCUCAUGGGCAGAGACAAGGUCACCAGGGUGGUCCCAGUCCACGGACUGGUGCCCUUCCGGAAGAGGAGACAAGGCCACGGUCACGUGACGACAGAGGCGAGGAGCCCCGAGAGCUGGAAGGACCUCCCGUCGAGCCUCCAGAGGGAGACAGACCCUGCACCACCUUGACCCUGGGCUCGUGGCUCCAGAGCUGAGAGAGAACAGCUUUCUGCUAUUUUAAGCAGCCCCCGCCCCACAAUUCUCCCUUGUUGGUGCCUAGCCGAUUCCGUGGCUUGCCCAUGGAAGCCUUCCCAAAGCCAUCUUCCCUCUGGUGGACCAGACAGGUUUAGGGCAGGAGCUGCUGCGGAGGUCGGAGGGAGCAGAUUCUCGUCUUGGCUCUCAGCCCCAGCUUGCCAUGUCCCCCCUCCCUUCGCAAAAUGGAGGUAGAAGUAUCUGCUUCAAAAGGUGGCUGGGGAAUGACAGGAGAUCUCGCUCAGCAGGGCGUCAAGAAGUGGGGGCUGGUGGCCCUCUAGGAGCAUCUUCCUCCUGUGUCCUGAUGAAGGUAAGGGUCCCACACCAGGCUUGGAGCUGGAAACAGUGGAGACGGCCAGCGGGAGAAGACUGCCACGUCGCUUGGACUCUGAACGAGCUCUUGAUGCUGAAUGAGUCCCCUGACCUUAGGGUGCGUGGUGUGUGUGUGUGUGUGUGUGUGUGUGCGCGCACAGCACAGAAAAUCCCCAGGUUGGCCCAAGCCAUUUCCGUGUCACGGAACAAAAACAACAGGAUGUUAUCACACCUGCUGUCAUUUAUCCAGUGGGUUUGGUGCACAGGGACCAGAGUCUCAAGUCACUUUUAAAGGACAGGCAGCUAGCGAGUGCGGAGCUAGGCCUCAAGGCUGGGCGCAUUCUGUGCCUCCUGCCAAGCACGGCCAAGCUAAAGGUUUUGGCACCCAAAGCAGGAAAGGCAGAAAUGCCAGGGGACAAAGCACUUUCAUGCCUCAUUUAACCCUGUGACAUGCCUUUGAAAUCAAUAGAUCCUUAUCCUCACCUGGCAGAGGAGGCCGUCAGGCCUUGAGGAAAGAGAAUAGAUGCUGACAGAGUGGGACCUGAACAAAGGCUUCCUGGUCCCCAGUCCUGCUCCUCCUGUCCCCUCCAGGAUGGCACAGCUGGAGGCCAAUAAGGAAGGUCCUCGUGGAGUGUCCCUUCCACUCGGCUCAGGUGACCUGGUGUCAUGGAGCUCGCAGCCCUUGUGGGGACCUGCCGGAGGCCGGGUACUUUGUAUGGUUUCUCCUGGUUCUGCUUUCGCAGGUGAAGAGGCUGAGUUCCCUCCGCACACAGCCAGCAGCACGGACCCCUGUCCUGGCCACUGUGUGGCCCUAAUCCUGUCAGAGGUUUCCAGACCGAGUGGAAGCCUCACCAUCACGUGUGGACCACCGCACGUGUGUCGUGCUUGUGGGUGCCAUGUGUGUUUGACGUCUGCUUCCAGUCUUGUUUGAAGAAUUGUUUCUAUAGCUGGUGUUUCUUUAAACCACUGGUCCACAUGUCAUGUGUGUGGUUCUCCUCAUGCAUGGGCUCCUUGGCGCUGAGACUUUCUCUCUUCCGUGCAGGGACAGCAUGCCACACGGACAUCUGAACGGAGCCAUCAGAGCCGAGCCUGGUUACGAAAUGCACAAAGGCCGUGCCAGCACAUCCCAAGGGAAGCUCUAGAUGGACGCCUUGCAUAGACACUGGCUAAACGUUUGCUGAUGGUUGUUCCAACGUCCCAAAUAAGUUUUUGCAAUGCUUUGUCCGAAGGUCUCCCUUCUCUUCUGUAAAGAUGGUGGUACCACGCCAAUUUCUCCAAUUAGUACAGCAUCUUGUCUAUCAGAGAUGGUCUGUUUUGUGUAAUUAUGUUUCUAUCCUCAUGCUUGUAGAGAGGAAUUUUUCCCAAAGUAUUGUUAAUAUUUCCUUAUAACACACCGUGAGCCCCAGGAUGGGAAAGACUUGAUUUGGAAGAGAAUUUGGGGGUCACAUGAGGUUAACUUCUUAAUUAGCAGAUGAGAAAAGAGGCAAAGGAGCCAUUGGGGAUCCCCCAGCCGACCCACGUAC
Mustela erminea (ermine) is the source of this 5223-nucleotide long non-coding RNA. RefSeq lists it as uncharacterized. Lineage: Eukaryota; Metazoa; Chordata; Mammalia; Carnivora; Mustelidae. The record is from RefSeq and is a predicted model, not a curated record. The transcript is spliced from 5 exons.